GUGGGGAAUCUUAGACAAUGGGCGCAAGCCUGAUCUAGCCAUGCCGCGUGAGCGAUGAAGGCCUUAGGGUUGUAAAGCUCUUUCAGGGGGGAAGAUAAUGACGGUACCCCCAGAAGAAGCCCCGGCUAACUCCGUGCCAGCAGCCGCGGUAAUACGGAGGGGGCUAGCGUUGUUCGGACUUACUGGGCGUAAAGCGCACGUAGGCGGACCAGAAAGUCAGGGGUGAAAUCCCGGGGCUCAACCCCGGAACUGCCUUUGAAACUCCUGGUGUUGAGGUCGAGAGAGGUGAGUGGAAUUCCGAGUGUAGAGGUGAAAUUCGUAGAUAUUCGGAGGAACACCAGUGGCGAAGGCGGCUCACUGGCUCGAUACUGACGCUGAGGUGCGAAAGCGUGGGGAGCAAACAGGAUUAGAAACCCCUGUAGUCC
This 425-nucleotide ribosomal RNA is filed under the name uncultured bacterium. RNAcentral's name for it is "partial 16S ribosomal RNA". It matches the Rfam family "Bacterial small subunit ribosomal RNA", at positions 354 to 796 of the family's 1533-position model. The record is from RNAcentral.